Molecule: ribosomal RNA, 427 nt
Filed under: uncultured bacterium
Lineage: Bacteria
Description: bacterial SSU rRNA
Rfam family: Bacterial small subunit ribosomal RNA
Source: RNAcentral
UGGGGAAUUUUGGACAAUGGGCGCAAGCCUGAUCCAGCAAUGCCGCGUGCAGGAUGAAGGCCUUCGGGUUGUAAACUGCUUUUGUACGGAACGAAACGGCUCUGGUUAAUACCUGGGGCUAAUGACGGUACCGUAAGAAUAAGCACCGGCUAACUACGUUCCAGCAGCCGCGGUAAUACGUAGGGUGCGAGCGCUAAUCGGAAUUACUGGGCGUAAAGCGUGCGCAGGCUGUGAUGUAAGACAGAUGUGAAAUCCCCGGGCUCAACCUGGGACCUGCAUUUAUGAGUGCAUCGCUGGAGUGCGGCAGAGGGGGAUGGAAUUCCGCGUGUAGCGGUGAGAGGCGUAGAUAUGCGGAGGAACACCGAUGGCGAAGGCAAUCCCCUGGGCCUGCACUGACGCUCAUGCAAGAAAGCGUGGGGAGAAAGCA